AGCAGGCCUCCCUGGAUGUUACGGGCCCUCUUGGAGAACUACAAGAUGAGCUUGCAGCCCUGCCUUGGGAACGCACAGUAAGCAUGUCACUGAAGAUUACCUGGAGAUUUUCACAUUGGACACAACCACAUGCCUUGUUUCUCCUGACAAGCAGACAAUGGG
Molecule: long non-coding RNA, 162 nt
Filed under: Fukomys damarensis (Damara mole-rat)
Lineage: Eukaryota; Metazoa; Chordata; Mammalia; Rodentia; Bathyergidae
Description: lncRNA (ENSFDAG00000025383.1)
Source: RNAcentral